AGACGAGCUCUUGAGAGGUUGGUUUGAGUCAUGUGCAAGAUUUGUUCUUCAUACAGUCACAACAAAAGGAAGAUAUAAAUAAUUCGUACUCCCACCAUGUUGUUUCCUUCUUUCAUCCUCAGGCCCUAUAAGUGUACAUCUGGGUCAUGCUCUAUGAAGAGACUGUUGUUAUCAAUGAGUUCGAUGCAUAUAUUUGUUAGCACUGACAGAUUCAGACACAGAUAUUUUCCACCUCCAAUGUUCAGAUCUGGUGUAGCUGCUGGGAGCCCUGGGCUGGAUAUGUACCCAGGUGACUCAUGGGGAAGGAUGCACCCUUCUGAGAAGCAUCACCUUUCUCAAGAAGCAUGACAGAGCUCCCGAUAUUAGACUUUCAAGACGUCUACCAGGCCUUCUUUGGAAUAAAUUGUGUCAUUGAAUGGCCACCUGCAUCCCACACAACAGCUUUAAAGGAGAAAACCCCAUGGAGAAAGAACUGAGACUGAGAGGAGUUCCAAACUAAAAAUAAACCACAGAUCUCAGCAAGGCUCUAUACCCUGGCUGUUGCCCUUGUCACUGACUUUUCCUUAUUGAAAGCUACUCAGAGACCUGAGGAAAGCUUUGUGCUAAUACCGAUAUGAUUGCUGUCAUCGCCACUACCUGGGCGCAUCCUUUGAUACACCUGACCGGUACUCCUCAGAACUGUCAAGGUCAUCAAAAACAAGAUAACAUCACUAUUGUAAAACCUCAGAUUGGUGCUCAAGAUAGUUUUCAGACCCUGCACUUGAUGGAUCAGCUGGCACUACUCAGAUCAACACACUGGCUCACCUGGUCUUGUGGCCCCCACCCAGGAAAUGACUCAGCACAAGAGGACAGCUUUGACUCCCUGUGAUUUCAUCUCAGACCCAACCAGUCAGCUCUCCCUACUACUUGGCCCCCUACCCACCAAAUUAUCCUUAAAAAACCCCAGCCUCUAAAUUUUGGGGGUGACUGUUUUGAGUAAUAAUAAAACUCUGGUAUCCCA
Molecule: long non-coding RNA, 1000 nt
Filed under: Homo sapiens (human)
Lineage: Eukaryota; Metazoa; Chordata; Mammalia; Primates; Hominidae
Description: HSALNT0380682
Source: RNAcentral